RNAcentral lists this long non-coding RNA (525 nucleotides) under Rattus norvegicus (Norway rat). Its description in RNAcentral is "long non-coding RNA NONRATT026087". Lineage: Eukaryota; Metazoa; Chordata; Mammalia; Rodentia; Muridae. The record is from RNAcentral.
UAUGCAUGAGGCUGGUUCACAGGGCUCAGAUCAAACAUAAUGGACGCUCUGGGCUGGCUGCAGAUGAGCUCAAUAAAGUUGCCAUUUCUACAUGGUGGUGUGGAGACGGAACCAUGGGUGUGAACAGUACUAGCUUUGCUGCCCAGCGGGCACAGUUAGGAGGCCCGGGCUGGCCUUAAAGUCAUGACAGUCUUGCCUCAGCCUCCAGUGUGCUGGGACGAGCGUCGUGUGUCACCUCAACAGGAGUCCUCGCAUUCUGCUAAAGUGCUCACGGCUCCAGAUGUGCACUGUGGCCUCAGGGCCUUUGCACUGUCUUCCCUUCUGAGCAGCCUCCUUUCCCCAGACGCCUUCAGAACCUACUUCAGGACUUCUUUCUGUUCACCUCCCAGACUCAGGACAGAUCCCCCUUUCACUCUGGAAGGCUGGACAAGAGAGACCCAGAAUCUCUAGAAAACGGGACUGGAUUUCACCCCACAGCCUCAAAACUUGUUUUCGGAAAACUCAAAACACGUCAAGCAAUGACCC